CACGUAGGAGACGAGCGUUAUCCGGAUUUACUGGGCGUAAAGCGCGUGCAGGCGGUUCGGCAAGUUGGAUGUGAAAGCUCCCGGCUUAACUGGGAGAGGUCGUUCAAUACUACCGGACUUGAGAGUGGUAGAGGGAGGUGGAAUUCCGGGUGUAGUGGUGAAAUGCGUAGAUAUCCGGAGGAACACCAGUGGCGAAAGCGGCCUCCUGGACCACUUCUGACGCUCAGACGCGAAAGCUAGGGUAGCGAACGGGAUUAGAUACCCCCGUAGUCC
Molecule: ribosomal RNA, 273 nt
Filed under: uncultured bacterium
Lineage: Bacteria
Description: partial 16S ribosomal RNA
Rfam family: Bacterial small subunit ribosomal RNA
Source: RNAcentral